GUGAGGAAUAUUGGACAAUGGGUGCGAGCCUGAUCCAGCCAUCCCGCGUGAAGGACGACUGCCCUAUGGGUUGUAAACUUCUUUUGUACAGGGAUAAACCUAUUUACGUGUAAAUAGCUGAAGGUACUGUACGAAUAAGCACCGGCUAACUCCGUGCCAGCAGCCGCGGUAAUACGGAGGGUGCAAGCGUUAUCCGGAUUUAUUGGGUUUAAAGGGUCCGUAGGCGGAUCUGUAAGUCAGUGGUGAAAUCUCACAGCUUAACUGUGAAACUGCCAUUGAUACUGCAGGUCUUGAGUAAAGUAGAAGUGGCUGGAAUAAGUAGUGUAGCGGUGAAAUGCAUAGAUAUUACUUAGAACACCAAUUGCGAAGGCAGGUCACUAUGUUUUAACUGACGCUGAUGGACGAAAGCGUGGGGAGCGAACAGGAUUAGAAACCCCAGUAGUCC
Molecule: ribosomal RNA, 445 nt
Filed under: uncultured bacterium
Lineage: Bacteria
Description: bacterial SSU rRNA
Rfam family: Bacterial small subunit ribosomal RNA
Source: RNAcentral